Cyclopterus lumpus (lumpfish) is the source of this 1242-nucleotide long non-coding RNA. RefSeq lists it as uncharacterized. The transcript is spliced from 3 exons. NCBI's taxonomy places the organism in Eukaryota, Metazoa, Chordata, Actinopteri, Perciformes, Cyclopteridae. The record is from RefSeq and is a predicted model, not a curated record.
GUUGCACCUGGACGCUCUCUGUGGUUUCUGAUUUCCGCCAUUACCUCGCUUCGCCUGAACUUCUGAUGGGAAAAUCGUCUGUUCUUCAAGUCAACUCAUUUAAAAAAGGUUUGCUGCUGUUUCCUGUAGCGGUCUGACAUUGUAGCCAUAUUGCUGAAUUUGAUCCUUUUGGAUGGGCUGACAUGGCAGUGAAAAGACCAGCCAAGUUGCGAGUGAUUCUGGAUUCUGAUGACACCAGGAAGCUAAUUCUGCCUGAUGGAAUUCCAGAGACAAUAGAGCAGAUGUUGAAUGAAGUCAGAAAAGUAUGUGAGUUGAAUGGGAAUUUUAGACUGCAGUACCAAGACAGAGACUUUGGAGAUGCCCUUGUAAACUUAACGCACCAUUCACAAUGGUGAACGCACCAUUAGUAUACCAGUUUUAAUUUCCUGUAUGAUAUGAAUUUUUGAGGUGAAAAAUGGCAGUUUUUGUCUUCAGGGAGGAGGAGGAUCGCCUCCAGCCGCCACACGACAUUGGAGUUGUUAUCGAUGGUGUGAAAGUCCUUAAUGAUUUGCCAUCAGUAGCGCAUGCAUGUGCUAUGUUAUUUGGGCUCAUUUAUGCUCUAAACUUGAGCUACCCAAGUGACCUCAAAUACACUUUUGAUGCUCUGCAAAAAAUAAUCAUGGAGAUUGAACCAAAAAAGAUGACGCGCAGAGUGUGCACUCUGAAUCUCAAACUCUAAAUAUUGGACCAAUGAAAAGACAUUUGGAUACAACAUGUGUUUUUGUUCUGUUAUAUAACUUGUAUUCAAAUACACUCCACGAUAAUGGAAGGUAAAGAAACAGACUUUGUUUGAAAAAUGUUCAUUUUGUAUUAAUUCUGCACACUGAAAAUGUGAAAAAUGCUAAAUUCACGACAAUUCAGUAGCACUGGUAAUGUUUUUGUUACAGUGGGUUAUGCACAAACCCUUGUUCAAAGGGUUUAACCCUUGUUAUGCAUGUUAUACAUGUUUGUUAUGCACAACAAAGGAUUUAACUCAUUAUGCACAAACCCUUGUUCCAAGAUUGGACACUAGCAAUUUAAGAGAUGUAACCAUAUUGUUCAUGUCAAGAUUUAUGUUGAUCUUUUGUCAAUAUUUUGUUUAUUAUUUAGUGUAAACUAAAUUACACUGAUUGUAACAAAAUGUUUUAUACUCUAGCAAAUGUGGCUUUUGUCCAUGGUAAACGUUUUAAGUUGUAGUAUAUGUAUGUGUGUGUGUGUGUGUGU